This 256-nucleotide ribosomal RNA is filed under the name uncultured bacterium. RNAcentral's name for it is "partial 16S ribosomal RNA". It matches the Rfam family "Bacterial small subunit ribosomal RNA", at positions 527 to 779 of the family's 1533-position model. The record is from RNAcentral.
CGGAGGGGCUAGCGCUGUUCGGAAUUACUGGGCGUAAAGCGCACGUAGGCGGACUGGAAAGUUGGGGGUGAAAUCCCGGGGCUCAACCUCGGAACUGCCUUCAAAACUAUCAAGUCUGGAGUUCGAGAGAGGUGAGUGGGAAUUCCGAGUGUAGAGGUGAAAUUCGUAGAUAUUCGGAGGAACACCAGUGGCGAAGGCGGCUCACUGGCUCGGAUACUGACGCUGAGGUGCGAAAGCGUGGGGAGCAAACAGGAUU